Molecule: non-coding RNA, 73 nt
Organism: Trichonephila inaurata madagascariensis
Lineage: Eukaryota; Metazoa; Arthropoda; Arachnida; Araneae; Nephilidae
Source: the annotation of a GenBank genome assembly
GCCCCUGUAGUACAAAGGAUAGUGCGUUGGACUUCUAAUCCAAAGGUCGUGAGUUGGAAUCCCAUCUGGGAUG